UCACCUGACGAACAAAGUCUACGUCAAAAAUGACGUCUAUGUCAAUCAUCUCUAAUCACGUGACAUUCUUGGAACAAUGGCUGACAUCAUCUUGCGCUGAGAAACAAUCCAAUCGCUAUUGCGCGACAUUUAGCGCUGCCUGAAUGAUGGUCGUCGCAUUGAAACUAUUAAAUUGUUCUUUAAGCGGGAAUGACCAAUAUCUAGCCUGAAAACCGAAACAAAGUAUAUUUAUUCCCCUCUGCGAACGGAAUAUCGGGAGCGGUCAGAGAUCGCUCCCCAUAUCCCGGAAUAAUGGAAAGAAGCAAAAUGAAAAUUAAUGCGGGUAUACUGUAAGCGAUAAAGCAAAUUCGCUCAGAUGAUCAUAUAUGUAUCACACACGUCGAAGAGGCAUCUGCAUAGACUAUUUAACGUAAUGAUAUCGGGAGAGGUGAGAAGCCGCUCGCGGUUCCUUAGCGUUCUCAGAUUGUUCCAAAUCGAUCGAUUCGAUGACAUUUCGAGUACCCCUGAUGUGCGGAAUAAAAACACCUACGCAAGCAUUCGUUUAAUGCCGUGCUUUGAGCUAAACGUAUAUGUUGGCUUAAUUAAAUUGCUCGAGAUUUGGCGAACCCACAGAUAAAAACGCGACUGGCGUCACUAUGAAACGAGAUGCAAAGUCGAUCGGCAUGCGCAAUAAGUAUUCGCCGAAACAGCCAAGAAAUGCGUAUAUGCACCGUGAGAUCAUGCGCGCUGACAAACCAAAUACGACUUCGGAACAGUUAUCGCUAAAAAGAACGCAUGGCAUAGUCUGUAUAGAAGUGGCCUACGCAAUGAAAGGACCCGGCAUCGAGUCACGUGAAGACAGAGUUAUCCGAAGACAAAAAGCGCCGUAAAGGAUAGAAGUGAGAAAACUCCUAAGAAGGGAAAAAAAAUCAGCAAAGAGAAAUAAAUAUUUUGCUUCCCGAUAGAUGGCGGCGACAUGCGAAGUCGCGCUUUCUCUUACGGCGAUUCGCCGAUCGUAAGCUACGUUCUCGAUAUAGGACACUCUCCCCGGGUAGAUCAGUUCCAUUGUUCUUUUUGUCGAUACACAGAAAUUCUUUCAUCAAACAUUCGUCACUCUCAUUCUAGCCGCCAUUACUAACGUGCG
RNAcentral lists this long non-coding RNA (1123 nucleotides) under Androctonus crassicauda. Lineage: Eukaryota; Metazoa; Arthropoda; Arachnida; Scorpiones; Buthidae. The record is from RNAcentral.